Carassius carassius (crucian carp) is the source of this 889-nucleotide long non-coding RNA. RefSeq lists it as uncharacterized. Lineage: Eukaryota; Metazoa; Chordata; Actinopteri; Cypriniformes; Cyprinidae. The transcript has 4 exons. The record is from RefSeq and is a predicted model, not a curated record.
UUGUUUUGAAACGACGAAGCCCGAACAGAUCAUGUGUAUUUGUUUUUACAGGAUGGGAAAUGUUGCUCAAGAGAUCUGUUUAAGCUGCUGUUUGAUACAUUUUAGUCAUUAGUCUGUAAUCGAAAGGCCAUGCACUCGGUUAGAUAUAUGCAGCGGGUGAGUUUAGACUUCACAGGAACUAUCUUUCCUCACGCCAUCUGUCUUGGAGAUGCAGAUAACAACUCAGUAAGUUCCAAGUACACUAGUAUGAAGCUAUACAUCUAUAAAAAUGAUGACUGACUGUAAACCCUGGAUCACGAGGACAUGUGUGGGCAUGUCCAGAAGGUCUCCCUGAAUUGAUGGUGUCUCAGCCCGGCUGUGGCUAUGCAGUUCUGCAGUGCUCAUGGACACAAGAGGGCGCUGCAGGACCUGGGGAUGAAAACACAGCAACUCCAAGCAGGUUUUAAGGAUGAUUCGUCUAAAGGUGGCUUGUUUGCUCUUUGCACACUAGAUGGUGAGUCCAGAUAUUAGUCCACCAGCACAUGUCAGAGGUUAUCUGAUGUAAGGAGAACACGAGCCAGGUGUGACAGACCAAAACAACACUCUUUGUUUUUCCAUUCUUUUUUUGGGGGGUCAGUCUGGGCUCAGGUGUGUAUGAAGAUUGGCAUUUUUACUCUAAAAGUCUAUGCUUGUUCUUCACGGCCACAACCCUAGUGUUUUUUUUGUUUGGACAGCAGUGGAUUGAUGUUAUUGAUUGGUUAGCUGUUGUUGUUUUUCAUCAGCUUUUGUGGUUGUUUUUCUGUUGAAUGGUGGUGUUUCAGGAACGCUGAAGCUCAUGGACAGCUCUGAGAAGCUCUUGUGGUCUGUGCAAGUGAACCACCAGCUUUUUUUGUCACUGUUAGUGUGAUUA